This 681-nucleotide ribosomal RNA is filed under the name Leptocodon hirsutus. RNAcentral describes it as "eukaryotic LSU rRNA". The stretch from base 248 to 403 matches the Rfam family "5.8S ribosomal RNA". The record is from RNAcentral. Lineage: Eukaryota; Viridiplantae; Streptophyta; Magnoliopsida; Asterales; Campanulaceae.
AGCAGAACGACCCGCGAACACGUGAACAACACCGGGGAAGCGGGCUUGCCCGUAACCCCUUGUCGUCGGCGCAGGCGCCUCCCCGUCCACUCGCUGGGUGGGAGGGUGCGUGCGUUGUUCGGCACCAAACGAACCCCGGCGCGAUCCGCGCCAAGGAAAACAUAACUCGAAGGGCAGUUCGUCCCCCGUCGCCCCGUUCGCGGUGCGCGCGCGGUUGGGCGGUUGCUUCUUAGUGAAAAACACAAACGACUCUCGGCAACGGAUAUCUCGGCUCUCGCAUCGAUGAAGAACGUAGCGAAAUGCGAUACUUGGUGUGAAUUGCAGAAUCCCGUGAACCAUCGAGUCUUUGAACGCAAGUUGCGCCCGAAGCCGUUAGGCCGAGGGCACGUCUGCAUGGGCGUCACGCAUCGUCGCCCCCCUUAACCUAAUUGUUUGAAAGAACGAGCGGGGAAAGGGGGAGCGGAUACUGGCCUCCCGUGCCUUUUCGGCGCGGAUGGCUGAAAACGGAGUCCCCCGCGAAGGACGCACGACAAGUGGUGGUUGAUAACAAGGCCCUCGCGUCCCGUCGUGCGCACGUCCUGCGCUGGGCUGGCUCUCGUGACCCUGACGCGUCUGGGCUUAGGCCCGAGGCGCUCCGACCGCGACCCCAUGUCAGGCGGGACUACCCGCUGAGUUUAAGCA